GAUGAAGAACGCAGCGAAAUGCGAUAAGUAAUGUGAAUUGCAGAAUUCAGUGAAUCAUCGAAUCUUUGAACGCACAUUGCGCCCCUUGGUAUUCCGAGGGGCAUGCCUGUUCGAGCGUCAUUAUAACCCCUCAAGCUCAGCUUGGUGUUGGGGCCUGCUGCACUGGCAGCCCUUAAAAUCAGUGGCGGCGCCAUCUGGCUCUAAGCGUAGUAAUUCUUCUCGCUAUGGAGUCCUGGUGGAUGCUGCCAUCAACCCCCAAUUUUUCUAUGGUUGACCUCGGAUCAGGUAGGGAUACCCGCUGAACUUAAGCAUAUCAAUAAGCGGAGGA
RNAcentral lists this unclassified non-coding RNA (328 nucleotides) under soil metagenome. Its description in RNAcentral is "partial contains 5.8S ribosomal RNA, internal transcribed spacer 2, and large subunit ribosomal RNA". The stretch from base 1 to 120 matches the Rfam family "5.8S ribosomal RNA", at positions 35 to 154 of the family's 154-position model. The record is from RNAcentral.